AAAUCUUUGCAAGUCAACAGAAGAAAAUAAUGCCAGGGCUAAUAAGCAUUUAGAAAAGACAUUAUUGUUUGAUUUUUUUAUGAGGCAAACUGCUUACUGGCUAAAAACUCACUCUGAUAUGUGUAUUCCCUGUAGAUUUGUUCUGUAUAAAACAGAGCUGAGUUCUCAGUUGGAGUGAGAAUCUAAACAGGUGCCUGGGCCUAGUGACAUUAUGCACAUUAGCCCCUGGCCUGCUCACAGCCUGUUAAACAGCUGAAGUUGAAACAAUGGUGGUGCCGGCCAGGCACCGCCGGAGGCCUGUCUGCCUUGGGAUUCAGCCAUUUGCAUUGAUUUUUUUUUUAACUCAUGUUUUUCAUGAAAACACAAAUAUUUGCCAUGGCAACUGGGUUGUCACAUGACAUGCUACACCAUAAGCAGCCUGGCAAUCUCUUAAGGGGAAACGGCGCACCAGUGUGGAAAAGGCACCUGGCUCCUCAUGAGGAUGUCUGGGCAUCAGAGGCAGGGAGGGCGGGGAGCAGCCUACUCUGAGAGAGUGGGGUUCAUCUCCCUGCGGUCCCUUCUAAUCCCUUCUUUCUUUUUUUCAUGAGAACAGCUAAAAACAUGACUACACAAGUCAUACCAGAAAAAGUACUGCCAGAUGUCCCCUUUUGAUGGAGAAAAGUUUUAAUUAUCCUAAAUCUGUCAGUGGUCCUUAAAAUGAGAAAACAACCUACAGAAAAGCCCAGCCCCUUUAAACUGGGGGCAUCUUCAGGAGAGUGAAUUACACGGCCAUGUGAGGGACUAAUGUUAGAGAAUACAGUCUCCUUCCUCUUCUCCAUUGUGGUUUUCUGUGAAUACCUAGAGAGCUUGUCUUUUCUUAUGCUUGAAGACAAAUGAGAUAUGGGAAACGCCUCUCAGUACCACACUGCAUAUGCUACAGAUGUAGAUGUGGAUGGAAAACAAGUUACUGCACCCCAGACUUCUGGUCCCUGAGCAGCUGCUAGCAUAGGCUGAUCACUUGCCUGCCACUCUCAAAAUACUGCAGUGGCUCUGCUCACCUUCAGCCCUGCCUAUAGUGUCCUGGCAGAGUUGACUUCUGCAUUCAUUUUCCCUUUUAAAGUAGGAGCUGACUGUGUAGUUCAGUGGUGAGCUCUUGCCUAGCAUGUGGGAGGCCCUGCAUUUGAUCCACAGCACCACAGAGACUAAUGAUAACCAUAAUAAGAUAAACUGCUCCCUAACAGCCACUGAAAUACUGCUUACUCCUGUGUGGAAGGAACAACUCUACAGUGUGUCUGUUACACAGAAUCACAUAGGCAGCCUGCACACGGGGCAGCUUGCCCUCCUCUGUGGUAGACAUAUGUGUACCUUGGGUAUUUCUAUCUGGUGAGAAGGCUCCUCCACUUCUUCAGGAACUGGGCGUGGCUUGAGAGCGAGAGGAAAGGAGGCUGUGGACAGAGGCAGGACAACAUUACUCCUUCCAGAAAGACAGGCUAGGCCAUCUGGUGCAUCCUAUGGGGUUCAACUUGAAAGUCAGAUGGCUGGCAUCCACUGUAUGCUUACUACCUGCAUUUCCUGUACCCAUUCUGUGACACCGCUGGGAUUCUUGUCUCCAAAGCAAAAUCUAUGAUAAGGCAACUACUUCUUUAGAAAAUAAGGUCAGCCCGCCUUAUGCAAAUGCCUAGAGGAAAGCUAGAUCUAAAAGGCAGGAAGAGUAGAGAGGAAAAUUUGUUUCU
RNAcentral lists this long non-coding RNA (1712 nucleotides) under Mus musculus (house mouse). RNAcentral's name for it is "long non-coding RNA chr9:63534890-63536602". Lineage: Eukaryota; Metazoa; Chordata; Mammalia; Rodentia; Muridae. The record is from RNAcentral.